AUGUGCCACGCGGACAUUCCGGUUCCUGCGCGCCGCCGUCCGCACCCACCUGACGACUGCUCGCUACGUUUUGUUAGCC
This 79-nucleotide small RNA is filed under the name Xanthomonas fragariae. Its description in RNAcentral is "sX9 sRNA". It matches the Rfam family "Xanthomonas sRNA sX9". The record is from RNAcentral. Lineage: Bacteria; Pseudomonadati; Pseudomonadota; Gammaproteobacteria; Lysobacterales; Lysobacteraceae.